Molecule: long non-coding RNA, 608 nt
Organism: Melitaea cinxia (Glanville fritillary)
Lineage: Eukaryota; Metazoa; Arthropoda; Insecta; Lepidoptera; Nymphalidae
Exons: 2
Source: RefSeq, a predicted model, not a curated record
UGUUUAUGUUUAACAUAUAACUUUAAAGCUAUAAGUACCUAUAUUUUGAAUAUGAAACCUCACAGCAUACCUAUGUAUGUGUGGUAUGAUAAGUUGAUAACUGUAAAGAGUGAAGACCAAAGAGAAGAGUUUGUAUCAUGGGUUUGUAUAGAUUGUUUAUGUUCAACAAUGACUGGUCAUUACUAGUUGACGAUGAAAAUAACAACUAGAAUCAAAUGAAAUAAUGAAUAAGGAUACAUAAUACAAAUAUUUAAUUUGUUGCAGUUCUAACAAUAUAAAAUAAUCAACGUUUGACACAUAUCUGAUAGACCAGAGGCAGACCCAUGGAAAAACAUUUUUUAUCAAUUUAUUUAAUUGGUCAUAACUUUUAUGCGUUUAAAAAAGCAAAAAACUUUGAUGUGGUUGUUUAUAAAUUAUUAAAAUGAAAGUUGUUUUUCAUGUACAUUUUUGAUUACGAGGAAUGGAACGACAUGUUUAUGUCAAAUUAUUACCUAUCUGUCGCUUUCGUACUCAUUGUCUUUGGUCGCUUGUUAGGUAUUCUUGGUAUUCAAGUUCUGUUAAAACUUCAGGUGCAGGUUAUUUUUUAAUAAAGUUAAAAUUUAAUCGAA